UGCUCUCACUCCAGUGGCGAAGGAGCUGCUCAGGGACCACCGCAGCCAUUAAUAGCAGGCUCGUAGCUUUCAGUUUCAAGAACAUCGGUCUGCUCAGAUUCGUAUGAUCGAAGAGAGUCUCUGAUUUGCUGGUGUUCUUGGUGAUUACAUCUGUGGCUGGAGGAUUUUGCUGUAUUCGUUCUUGGUGCAAAAUCCCUUGGACUUUGCCUGUCGAAGCCCUAGGUAUAGCCAUUCGGAUUGGUAGGGUCCUUGAUGUGGUGAAGCAGUUGGAAAACACCUAAGCUUGUAUGGACAAAAGGUAGGUCUAGAUGCACGAGGAACUAAAAUCUGUGUAAGUGACAUAGAAUGAAUUGACCAAAAAAAAUGUAGAUACUCCUCAUGAGGAUGGAGGACAAGGUAAGGAUGAGGAACACGAAGAAGAGUUGGGAAGACAUGAAGAUGAUGAUGAUGAGGGAGAUGAAGAAGAGUUGGGAACGGAAGAUGUUGAAGACGGAGAUGAAUUUUUUAAGGAGCCUUGACCUUGGCCUUUUCAUUGUUUUUAUAGUUGAAUAUGUUGACGGGUUUUGUGGUUGUCCCAAUUUGUUUAUGAACAUUUUUUUCUUA
Non-coding RNA from Camellia sinensis, 603 nucleotides. The record is from RefSeq and is a predicted model, not a curated record. NCBI's taxonomy places the organism in Eukaryota, Viridiplantae, Streptophyta, Magnoliopsida, Ericales, Theaceae.